This 774-nucleotide ribosomal RNA is filed under the name uncultured Neocallimastigales. RNAcentral's name for it is "partial large subunit ribosomal RNA". It matches the Rfam family "Eukaryotic large subunit ribosomal RNA", at positions 19 to 634 of the family's 3401-position model. Lineage: Eukaryota; Fungi; Neocallimastigomycota; Neocallimastigomycetes; Neocallimastigales. The record is from RNAcentral.
CGAGCACGCGCGUGUGGCAUAUCAAUAAGCGGAGGAAAAGAAACUAACAAGGAUUCCCUUAGUAACGGCGAGUGAAGCGGGAAGAGCUCAAAUUUGAAAUCUUCAAGGUUCUACCUUGACGAAUUGUAGUUUAUAGAAGUGUUUUCUGUUAGUGGAGUGGCAAAAGUUCUUUGGAAUAGGACAUCAUAGAGGGUGAGAAUCCCGUAUUUGGUCAUUCCUCCUAGCGUUGUGAUACACUUUCAACGAGUCGGAUUGUUUGGGAAUGCAGUCCAAAAUGGGUGGUAAAUUUCAUCUAAAGCUAAAUAUUGGCGAGAGACCGAUAGCGAACAAGUACCGUGAGGGAAAGAUGAAAAGAACUUUGAAAAGAGAGUUAAACAGUACGUGAAAUUGUCAAAAGGGAAGCGUUUGACACCAGUGUUGUUUUUCCGAAAAUCAAUUACGAAUGUUUUGUUUUUGAGGAGUUAUGACUUCAUCGGCUUGCAUCCUUUCUUUACGAAACUUUCUUAAUGCACUUUUCGGUUAACAAGUCAACAUCAAUUUCUUUUGUUGUAAAAGGGUAUGAGGAAGGUGGCUUUCUUUUCGGAGAAAGUGUUUAUAGCCUUGUGCCUCUACAAUCGGAGAGAUUGAGGUCUGCAGCGUAGAUCCUUCGGGGUUAGAUACGUUUGUGCUAAGUAUAGCUUUUCAUAGACAACUUGUUGACUAUGUUUAGUCUUGUAGCUUACUCGCUGAUGCUAUUUUACCUACGCUUAGGAUGUUGAACUCUAUCACACACAG